CCCCGCGCCUCCCGCGCUCGGCCCCCAGCCCGGGCCGCCCCCCGCCCGCUGACCCGCGGGCCGGGCCGCCGCCGAGACCCUACGUCCCCGGGAAGGGCGGGACGGGCGCGUCGAGCCCCGCGCCGGCCUCGGGGUCGGGACUCAGGAGGACCCCCACAGGACCGUAUCAGCCCGGGUUGGACUUGGGGGAACCUUCUCAUGCCCAUGCCUGGGGAAGUGAACAUCACCAUGAUCUUCCAGCUCAGCCCCAUUCUAAAAGCAGCCGGACUGGGAGGCAGACAUUCACUCCUCAGAGGACAGCUAGAAUGGGUUGGCCAAGGGCUUGCCGUGCCUGUUAAGUAGAAGUUACUCGCCUUGGAGCGCCGCGUGCCUGCUUCUGGUUUGGGAUUGUCUCCGACAGGUGGCACGUACCUGCCUCUUCUCCGACGAUGGACGAGCGGAGCCGGGCACAAGCAUGGAGCUGUGGGUGAGUCCCGGCUGGUACUGGCGCGGCGCGGUGAGCAGCAGCUGACGCAGAGGGCUCCCUGGCCUCGGCUCCUGCCCGCCUCUCCCCCACCUCCGCCGGGGGCCCGGUAAGGACCUCCCCGGGAAAUCGGCGCCACCCAGCGGGCAGCCGCCUCAUUGCGCCCUGGCCGGCAAAGCCGCGCCGCGCGUCUCGCGUCACUGAGACGCGUCACGGCUAUUGGCUUGUUCCUAUUGUGGCGUCAGGAGAGCCCCGCCCGGCCGGGGUCUCCCAGGCGACCGGUAUAUACAGAGAAGCACGUGGAGGAAAAGCGCGCGGGCUCGGAGGGGGUGGAGCGCGACAAGAAGUGGACCGGGUAUGUGUACUAUUAUCUCCAUUUUAUAAAUGAGGAAACGGAGGCACAGAGAAGCGCAUCAAUGGGGUGAACUGUAUCUUUGGAAAUACCCCAGAGUGAUGUGGAUUCAGGUCUGAGGGAUCAGGACAGCUGUCCGCAGGGAUCCAAGCCGCUCAGAUCUGGCAAAGGCACCAUCUUAACUCAUGCCACACUUGUCACUGAGGGUGAAGAGAGACCAGGGGAUCUGCUCGUCUAUGCUUCCGGCGGAGGUGACACUCGGACCUGCAGCCCACUGGCUACAAGGUGCCUGGCUCUGCAGCUGCAGGUGGCUGGGAAAUGUGGGGAGCACACAUCUGCCGUCAAGUCUCUGUUUCUCGAAGUAACACAUGCAGCAGCUGCCUCUGCCAAGAGCCUAUGGGAACCUCCUACCAGUUCAUGUCCAAGUUCCUGCCAGCCCCGCGAUGAUUUGGCCCCACCUGAUGCUCCCCAGCCCAUCACCUGCCACUCCUCAGUGUGAACUCUCUGCUCCAGGUUAUCGAGCUAAGUCCUUCCUCCAAGCCCCUGCUCACGCCGCUCUCCUUGUUUAUCAGUCUUUUGCUACUUCUUUCCUACAUUCUUCAGGGCCCAAGUCAAGGUCAAUCUCUUUUGUGAAAAAGCCUCCUCUUGGCUCAGCCCCUAGUGCUCUCCCGUCUCAGAGCUCUUCCUCAGCUUAUUUUUAAGCUCUCACUCAGUCCUGAGCAUAUGUUCCUUCGGUAGCCCGUGUAGAUUGCAACCCUUGGAGGUCAAGGGCUGUCUCAUCGUCUUUGCCUUCUCAGUAAGUGCUCUCAGUGAUUUUAAUUCAUGAAUGGUUAUUAAACACCUACUAAAUGCCAGACACCAAGCUCAGCGAGGAGGAUGCAAAGAACAACGAAACAUGAUCCCGGAAGGAAAGAAACUAGCAUUUUUAUGUGCCGGCCGUGUAACAUUUAAUGAUUAAGAGAGCGCUCUGGAGGCACCUGGGUGGCUCAGUCAUUAAGCGUCUGCCUUCAGCUCAGGUCAUGAUCCCAGGGUCCUGGGAUCGAGCCCCACAUCAGGCUCCCUACUCUGCAGGAAGCCUACUUCUCACUCUCCCACUCCCCCUGCUUGUGUUCUCUCUCUCUCUGUCAAAUAAAAUCUUAAAAAAAAAAAAAAGAGCGCUCUGGCGUGGGCUUGGGGUCAAAUCCUGCCUCUGGUUAAAUUAGCUACAAGACCUCAGGCUGUUACUUAACUUCUUUAGCUUGAAUUUUCUCACUUCAACAAUAAUACUGAUCACUAUUCGCUUCUCAGAAGGACUGCUGUAACAAAUUAUAGAAGGGUAUUCUCUCUACGGCUCUGGACGCCGGCAGUCUGAAAUCAAGGUGUUGGCAAGACUGCUCUCUCUGUAAGACUCUAGGGAAGACUUCCUCCCUGGCCUCUUCAUAGUUCUGGUGGCGCCCAGCAAUCCUUGGUGUCACUUGGCUUGUAGGUGCCUUAUUCCAAUCUCUGCCUCUGCCUUAAUGUGACAUUCUUCUCUCUCUCUCUCUCUCUCUGUAUGUCUUCUCCUUUUUUUUAACAAAGACAUCAGCUGUUGUACUUAAGGCUCGCCCUCAUCCACUAUGACCUCAUCUCAACUCAUUACAUCCGAAAAACCCUAGUUCCAAAUAAGGUCACAUUGUAAGAUUCUGGGUUGACAUAUAUUUUGGGAGGGGACACAUACUCAACCCUCGACACCCACCUCAUAAGAUUAUUGUGAGGAUUAAAUAAGAUGGUGCCUGUAAAUCAUUUGGCACAAUGCCUGGUGCACAGAAAAAACUCCUCAAAUGUUACUCAUUUUAAGAACAGUAUGUUAAUCAGGAUUAUUUUAUUUGCAAGUAUCAGAAACCCAACUCAGCCCUGGUGUGGCUGGAUCUGGGUACUUAAAUGAGGCUAUUAGGAAUCUUGCCCUCUUCAUCUCUCGGCUGUCUAUGUUGUCUUUAUUCUCGGGGCAUGAUCUCCCAGUGAGGUGGUGAAGACAUCCCUUCAGCAGGUCCAGGGCUCCAUUUGACUAGCUGAUCAUCCUCAGUGGAAAAGCAACACUUUUUUUCUCAAGAGCUCCAGCAAAAGUCUCAGGGCUGACUCUCAUGAAGCUAGUCUGGACCAUGAGCCCAUCCUGGAAACAAUCUCUGUGGUCAGGGAGAUGAAUAUCCUGAACGGUGUUGGGGGGGUUGGUGAGGGAUGGGGUGGAGGGUUAGCCAACGUGGAACCACUUGAACAGCAGGUGAAGGAGGGGUGGUUCGCAGAAGGGAAAUCCCAGUGCCGGCCGAUCAGAUGCUGAGCGGGCAAAAACAGCUCGUGUUCUGUAGAUCGUGGCAAUGCUGUGUUCCAGCUCCCAGCCCAGUGCCUGGGACCGUGCAGGAGUGCAGUAGGUGCUUACUGAAAGAUGGCAUGGAUGGUGCAAGAAGGAACAUGCUAGUCACCAAGUCAAUUUGCUCAUGUUUUUUCAUUAGUUCCCGCAAUAGCAGGCAAAGGAGGUAUUAUUAUUUUCAGCUUGCAGUUGUAGAAACUGAGGCUUAAGUGAUUGAGGCUUAAUUGAGUUUAAGUGAUCUGUCCAAGAUGACAGAAUGAACAAGUGGUGGAGCCAGGAUUCAAAGCCAGGUAGGUCUCAUUGCAGAGCCUGUGUACCUUCUGUCAUACCACACUAUCUUUGUCCCCCAGACUCACUGCCAGAGAAGAAAGAGUUUGAAGUCAUACUAUGGAUUUUAGGUGCAACAACAAAAUAAUGCAUUUCCUAGUCACCUUCCCACAAUUUACCACUCCAGAAGCUCAAGCCCCCCUGUUCCUUUGUCUGGUCACUUCUUCCAAUGUAUUGCCCUUUGUUAAAAAUGGUAUAUAAGCCCCUGGACUUAACCAUCUCUUUGGGUUUUCACUUCUUUUCUGUGAAGCUCCAUGCCUGUAAAAAUAUUAACAUCAAUAACAUUUGUAUGCCUUCGUCUGCUAAUCUGCCUUUUGUUAGUUUAAUUUGCAGACCCCAGGUACAGAACUGAAAGGGUAGAGGAAAGGUGGUUCAUUUCCUACAGUGAUAUUUAGGCUGUUUCUAGUUUUCAGCUGUUAGGAAUAAAGCCACUCUGAAUAGUCUUGCCCAUGUCCUUUGGUGGACAUAAACCAAAGCACUCAUUUCUUUUAGAUAUACACCUCAGAGUGAAAUCAUUGGGUCAUCUGGAUAUCUUCUAUCAAACAUUUGUUGCUCUCCGUCUCUUUCCUCUUGGAGUCCCUCAGAUUGUGCAGAACCCUUGCCUGCCGCGACCUCGCUAAGCCUAAAGGCAGAGGGUUGGAUAAAAUGACCUCCUGAGGCCUCUUGGCAUUUCCCAGAAGGAUUUAGCCAUAGGUCUCUGGCCCCAGCUCCCGCCUGUUUGCUCAUGAAAACAUUUCAUGUGAUUAGCCAAGUAAUGACAUCUUAAAACUGUAGAGCUAAUAUAUUACGUAAUAAAACACAGGAGCAAAUCUCUUUGACACAUACUGGUGAUUUACUCUGUCAGCCAUAAAGAUAAUUACAUUUCAGGUUGAUAUAUAAAAGGCGGCAGGCAGAGCUUAUGAAGAAUUAGCAUGGUUUUAUGUCGGACCUCUCCAUCCACGCGGACCUGUUCAUCAUUCCUCUCGCAACCAGCCAGCAAACACUGACUCAGCUGGGCCUGCCCAGCCACUGGCCACUGCUGCUACUAAAAGG
This is a long non-coding RNA of Mirounga angustirostris (Northern elephant seal), 4497 nucleotides long. RefSeq lists it as uncharacterized. Lineage: Eukaryota; Metazoa; Chordata; Mammalia; Carnivora; Phocidae. The transcript is spliced from 6 exons. The record is from RefSeq and is a predicted model, not a curated record.